GAUGUCUCAGGCAAAAACCCAAAACCUGGAAGAUAAGGGUGGUUUGCAGAUAGCACAUUGAGAUACUUCUCUCUAUAGUCUUUUUGAUUAACCCAUGAACCCCUCAUGUACUCCAUGGGCAUGGGAGACUCCGAGAGCCCACAAACCCGAUGAUGAUGAAAUGCACCACCAUUAGUCGACGCCAUAACUGAAGGAUGGUCAGGUUGGUGGGAUUGUUGUUGUUGUUGGUGAUUAUCAUGAAUGUUGCGAAAAUGAG
Molecule: unclassified non-coding RNA, 256 nt
Filed under: Hevea brasiliensis (rubber tree)
Lineage: Eukaryota; Viridiplantae; Streptophyta; Magnoliopsida; Malpighiales; Euphorbiaceae
Source: RNAcentral